UAAUGGGGGGUGUGAAAAUUAAUUGCCAUUGGUGUAUAACGUCAGUUGCCACCUGUCAUUGUCGUCAACUGCCACCAUGUCAACUUAUUGCUUGCCAUCCUAUUGUAGAGCCUGAUGCCAUCGAAUCAAACGGAUAGCUAGCACCAGAUUUUAGAAAAGGAUAGUGGAUGUGCAUGUCCUACUAGCCAUGAUAUGUUGGUUGCCAACGCAUGAAAAUGUGAUAGCACUGACGUGUUAACUUCUACAUGCAAGCAGCACAAUGAUAAAAAAAAUUUGGAUUGUUGAUGCCUUCUUGUUCAUCCAGUGAUUGAGAGCACAUCAGAACAGAAGCGAGACACGGAAAAGAAUGAAUCACGAAGAUGGUGCAGAUGAUUGGGGUUCUCAAAGGCCAGAAACGCCGCCACCUUUCGAUGCAUCAGAGUACAGUCAGCUCAUCUCUGCAGGUCCGUUGCUGCCGCUGCUAGAACAGUAUGCAGGCGUAGGUUCUUAUGACCAGAACACUCUUAGGGGGGCCCGUGGCAAGUGCAGUCACAAGGCGCUAACGCUGACAAAUGUACGGGCAGCCAACUCCAACUAGCUAGUAUGGCUAAUCAAGAGCCUUCGUGCAGCACGUGGAAUCGGGCAGCACCCAUGUACCUGCCAUCGACGUCGUACACAGGUGAGUCCAUAAACAUAGUGAAGAUGCGGAUGCUCAGUCAGCACAAGGAGCAUAGUUGACAACUACAAAAAUUGCCAUGACUGGUCUUCUACGGUUGCCAUGUAUUAAAAACAACAUUUGCCAUCUCUGCACACCUGCAGUUGCC
Molecule: long non-coding RNA, 803 nt
Organism: Triticum urartu
Lineage: Eukaryota; Viridiplantae; Streptophyta; Magnoliopsida; Poales; Poaceae
Source: RefSeq, a predicted model, not a curated record